RNAcentral lists this long non-coding RNA (427 nucleotides) under Corvus moneduloides (New Caledonian crow). Its description in RNAcentral is "lncRNA (ENSCMUG00000019243.1)". Lineage: Eukaryota; Metazoa; Chordata; Aves; Passeriformes; Corvidae. The record is from RNAcentral.
AUCUCUGAACCACUGAAAAAAAAGAUCUGUUUUCAGGAUGCAGCAGCCUCCUAGAAAGGAGGAAAAGCCAUGUUGAAACUUCUGCUGGAGAAAUCUCUACAGAAAGCCAUCACCAUGGCUGAAUGUACCACUCUGGACUAUUCCUCUAUGGACUCAGAAGAUGUUAUGGAUCUCACCCAUUGAUAACACGGGGAAUUUUGCUUAAUUGGAGCCUAUGGAAGUUUGGAUCUUGGAUGCUAUAGACUUGGGCAGAUGCUCAUUCAGAUGAUGGUCUCAGAACUUUCUUCUGACCCUCAGACCUAUGCCAUGGUCAAAAGCACCUGAUGAAAAACCGCUGUUAAUGCUUUAAAGACGCUUCUAGAUUCCGUCUGUCUUCUUAGAUCUAAGACUGAUUGUUUCUCCAUCAAGCUUUCAAGGAUUUUGUUUG